RNAcentral lists this transfer RNA (73 nucleotides) under Diaphorina citri (Asian citrus psyllid). It matches the Rfam family "tRNA". From Rfam's summary of the family: Transfer RNA (tRNA) molecules are approximately 80 nucleotides in length. The record is from Rfam by way of RNAcentral. Lineage: Eukaryota; Metazoa; Arthropoda; Insecta; Hemiptera; Psyllidae.
GCCUAGUUAGCUUAGUUGGUAGUGCGUCUGCCUUGUAAGCGCUAGGCCGCGGGUUCGAUUCCUGCACGGGGCG